This 64-nucleotide transfer RNA is filed under the name Diplostomum pseudospathaceum. RNAcentral describes it as "tRNA-Ala". Lineage: Eukaryota; Metazoa; Platyhelminthes; Trematoda; Diplostomida; Diplostomidae. The record is from RNAcentral.
AAUGAUGUAGUUUAUUAUAAAACAUGUGCUCUGCAAGCACAAGAUAGAGAAUUUCUUAUCGUUA